This 511-nucleotide ribosomal RNA is filed under the name Theileria cervi. RNAcentral describes it as "SSU rRNA". It matches the Rfam family "Eukaryotic small subunit ribosomal RNA", at positions 551 to 1094 of the family's 1831-position model. The record is from RNAcentral. Lineage: Eukaryota; Apicomplexa; Aconoidasida; Piroplasmida; Theileriidae.
GAGGGCAAGUCUGGUGCCAGCAGCCGCGGUAAUUCCAGCUCCAAUAGCGUAUAUUAAAAUUGUUGCAGUUAAAAAGCUCGUAGUUGAAUUUCUGCUGCUCCGCAUUUUCCCUUUGAGGGGUUUUUGCGCUGUGGCUUAUUUCGGACUGUGUUUCGCACUGUCCGGAUGUUUACUUUGAGAAAAUUAGAGUGCUCAAAGCAGGCUUUUGCCUUGAAUAGUUUAGCAUGGAAUAAUAAAGUAGGACUUUGGUUCUAUUUUGUUGGUUUUAGGUACCAAAGUAAUGGUUAAUAGGAACAGUUGGGGGCAUUCGUAUUUAACUGUCAGAGGUGAAAUUCUUAGAUUUGUUAAAGACGAACUACUGCGAAAGCAUUUGCCAAGGAUGUUUUCAUUAAUCAAGAACGAAAGUUAGGGGAUCGAAGACGAUCAGAUACCGUCGUAGUCCUAACCAUAAACUAUGCCGACUAGAGAUUGGAGGUCGUCAGUUUUUACGACUCCUUCAGCACCUUGAGAG